ACAGUUCCUCAUGCUGUGCUGAACCCCAACCAUAAGUUGCUACUUCAUACCUGUUGCUACUAUUAUGAAUUGCAGUGUCUUUUUGGAGAUAGAGGUUUGUCAAAGGGGUUGAGAUCCACAGGUUGAGAACCACUGGCUCAGAAGGAAGAUGAUACGGAGAUGUCUGUUGGGGGCUUAGACCUAGAAGCAUUACGCUAAGAGGCUGACAUAAAGCCUUGCUCUCUGAUUGUGUGGCUGGGAGGAGUCUCUGACUGACUUUAUGCCAACUUUAUCCUAAGUCUGAUGAUUAACUCAACAGUUUGACUGACUCAGCAGACAGAAUAUGAAAGAAGCAAAUUGUGCUUAGGCAGUGGUUAAGGGGCCUUUCAGAUGUCAUCUCAACCUGUAGGCCCUUAGGAAGGACAAGUGGCAGAGGCUGGCAGAAGGGUCUGGGGUAGAGAAGGGAGAAUAUCUUAUUCCCCAUUAGCUGUGGGAACAGCCAUCAGAAAACCUGGGCAGAUGCUAAUGCACAGGGAGCUGAGACCAGGAACAAAGCUGGAGGCUGUAAGAAACCUUGAGACAAGAGACAAGGGCAGCUGGGGGAUGGUGGAGCAUACCUUUAAUCCCAACACUCAGGAGGCAGAGGCAGGAGGAUCAUCGCUGAGUUCAAGACCAGCCUGUUCUACAGAAUGAGUUCUAGGACAGCCAAGGCUACACAGAAAAACCCUAAAAUAAAAAAAGAUACAAGGGCCAAUGAAGACAUGUUGCCCUUAACUUUUCUGAGUCUGUCUCCAAGGCACAAAGCUCUACUUGGAAGCUUUGUGAUGAUUACUGUAUGUCGGAGACCAGGUUGGGGAGAGGGUAAUUAAAAGCUACGCCCGGCUAAAAUGUUAAUGGAGAAAGAGCACAGUUCUGGCUCUGCAUAAAAACACAGUUGCUAGAAGAGCAGACAAGGUUUCUAAUGGUAUAAAUAUGCAAUGUACUUUUUGAGAGGGCAAGGAGAUAGAGUAUGUAUAAUGGAUAAAGAGACAGAAGUUAACAAGCUAAUUAAAAGAGACAGAAAGGUUGGGGCGUGAGAUACUGGGUAUUUUAAACAUUAAAACAUUCAGAAAUGUUCCCUGGGCAAAAGAUAGAAGAUGAAAAAAAUACUGGUUCAUAGAACUGGUGGGGAAGGCCGGCUGUAGGGAGCAGGUGCAAUGUACCUGAUACAAUGUAGCUUUUCUAGGAUGGAAACCCAGCGUGCACUGCUUUGCUCAGUGAAGUCUCGUCUCAGUGGCUUGUGGUAGGCUCUGGUGUUGGGCACCGUAGGAAGUGGGAAGGACAGAUGACAGGCAGGUACUGGUCCUUCAGAGAAGAACUCUAUUAGAGAGAUGGCCCAGCAGUUAAGAACACUUGGUGCUCUUGCAGAGGGCACUGGUUUGGUUCCAAUCUCUCACACGGAGGCUCGCCCUACCUGCAAUACUUCUAAAAAGUAUGACGUCCUUUUUUGGCCUCCUCUCCACUGUAUGCUGGUGGUGUACUUAUGUAUACACAGGCAAGACAUACCAUAAAACAAAAAUAAACCUAAACACACACACACACACACACACACACACACACACACACACACGGAUUGUGAUCUGAGCAGUUAGCUGGACUUAGAACCAGACCAAAGAGUAAAUUGAAUGCUGCCUUCUCUUUAACCUGGGUCUAGGGGGGGCUCUAGAAGAGCAGUCAAGUCUAGCAAGGCAUGAAGGAGCCCUGGAAGAGCUCCCUCUGAGGGGUCUCAGGAAAAUACACUACGGCACUGCUGUGGCCUUUGAGAAGCACAGGAUGCUGUGGUAGCUUGGGAGUGGGAUGGAACUGGAUGCCCAUGUCAUUUAUGGUUGGCUGUUUCAAACUAGUUAUGUACCCACUCUUAUCCUUGUCAAGGCCCGGGUCACUGCUGCCUGCCUGUCUAGCCAGCCAUUGUGCGCUGUCAUUACUGUUUGUUACCAGGAAACUUUCCUAUGCCAGAGUUGGCUGCAUAAUCCUUUAUGCUCUGUGUUUUGGUGUUCUCAGAAGCCAAUCACAAGAGAGGUCCAGUAGAGCUGCUUCGUAUAGUUAGCCACAAUAAGUCUGGACCUGGACCAGCCACCCAGCAGCACUUCCCGCACCUGGGUCCAUAGGACAUCUUGGUUGGAUCUUGCUACUUAUUACCUCUUGACGCCUCAAUUGCACCCAUUGUGAAGGAUGUUAACUCACAAGCCCUGGGAGAGUACUGUGGGGCUCAAAUGGACUCAUUCGCCGGCAGCAUAGCUCACCUGGGAGAAGCCACACUUCACCUGUGUGUGUCUCUGGUAGGCAUAUGGCUCUUAAAAAAAUAAGCUGGGCAGAAGAAAGAGCUCCUAAGACAGUCACUCCCAACAUCACCCAGGGUAAGCCAGGUCCUGGUCCUACAUGCCACUGUUCAUCCUGCUUGACCUUCCCUCAAGGAGACAUUUGGCAAUGUCUGGAGAUACUCUGAAUUUUCACAGUGGAGGAAAACUCCUACAAUAUCAUUCUGCAGGCAAAGCACCCACCCACAAAAAAUAAAAACAAGUAAACCUAAAAGAA
Rattus norvegicus (Norway rat) is the source of this 2553-nucleotide non-coding RNA. Lineage: Eukaryota; Metazoa; Chordata; Mammalia; Rodentia; Muridae. The record is from RefSeq and is a predicted model, not a curated record.